GGAAUUUCAAGUCCUCUGCUAUAGAAAUAAGAUGGUUGUCUGGUAUAUAGCCCGAUUUAUCAGGUUUACCUCACUAAUGGUCACUCUUGAGAGUCGUAAGGUUAAGAAAUUCUUAAAAAGCCUCCGUUUUGAUAUUUACGACUGGGUCCCGAUGCUACGAUCCAGUUAUUAUGUCGAGGUGCUGGAACAUAUCCAAUUAGCUGAAGAUCUUAUCUCGGCCCGACACCAACGCAUUGUCUAAGUUUGUACCCAUCAAUAAUAACACAAACCUCAACAACUAAGAAGAAGACUACCUGACCCAGUUAGUAGUCAUCCUGAUAAACAACCCUGAGUUACUUCUCCUCCUGCUUUGCCUCUACUUACUAGACACCCUGCCCGACCUAUUCAACCAUAUUAGCAUUGUGGACGCUUGCAUGGUGACCAAUUUUUUUGGCAUUUGAACAACGCCUGCUAUAAGUGCGGAAACACUCAAUACUUCGUGAAAAAUUAUCCCCAAUGGCUGAAGGACAUGGUCAGACCUGUAGCCCAAGGUUGUGUGUACCACCUUGAUUAGCUCGGUGCCCUCGCCAAUCUUGUUGUUAUUCAGGGAAUGCUUUCUACCAAUGACAGUACUGCUCGAGCUCUGAUUGAUACAUGUGCUUGCCACUCCUUU
RNAcentral lists this long non-coding RNA (652 nucleotides) under Carica papaya (papaya). Its description in RNAcentral is "long non-coding RNA (CPAP_LNC006749)". Lineage: Eukaryota; Viridiplantae; Streptophyta; Magnoliopsida; Brassicales; Caricaceae. The record is from RNAcentral.